Molecule: long non-coding RNA, 1084 nt
Organism: Gopherus flavomarginatus (Mexican gopher tortoise)
Lineage: Eukaryota; Metazoa; Chordata; Testudines; Testudinidae
Exons: 3
Source: RefSeq, a predicted model, not a curated record
AUUAUGCAAGGGGUGGUGACAUCAUUUGCUGCACCCACUUUGGGCUGCCCCCCCUUACCCCCCAGCUCAGCUUGCACUGAACUUUUGCAAAACGCCCCGGGCGGGAGCUGUGUCUUUGCAGCAGGCUCUGCGAGUGCUCAGACCCCCCCCUCCCCCCGGUAGUUUCCCCGCUUUCCUUCUCAUGUGCAGGAAAGAAACGGCAACUUUAGCCUUUUGUAAAGGCAGGCGGGGUGUGAGCGCAAGAGUAGCUGCGUAGCUGUGGUCGGGUUCGGGGUGGUAGAUGAGCAAAACAAAGCUGAUCUUUGCAGAGACUCAUCUUCCUUUCUCCCAGCUGUAAUUACCGUGAAACUAAAGAGGAAAGGCUGUUUGUGUUUGUUUGCAGGAUAUUGAUUCUGUGAGCUAGGAAAGCAACACGUUUGCAAAAGCUGAUCAGUUUCCCCUCUGAAGUUCUGAAAUGGAAGACUAGACUGAAGUGGAAAUAUUAAACUCUUAAUUUCUUUCCUACAUAUUUCCAUUUGUCCUUCAUCACCUCCUCGUCCUUUUUACAAUUUCAAUGCAGAGAACCACAGUUUGCAAAAUUGGAACUGGACAUGUACUGUCAUGUUGUUUUGGCCAGGGGGUGAAGACUGUAGCACGGGGAAAUUUAAACUGAUCUCUAACUGGUCUCAUAACCAAUGAACACUUUAUUUCAACAUGCUUGCCUCAGAUGGACCUGCAAGCAUUGCAUGCCUCAGUACAUUGUUAAAAGACAGAGGGAAAAUCCUUAGUCCUUACUCUGAUUAACUCCCAGUGACUAUAAGGAGUGGUUAGCCUAAGGGCCAAGUUUAAACCAAAUAAAGAUUCAGGAUUUGGAGCAUGCAGAGUCUGUGAUUUUCUAAUUCUUACAGCCAUGGAGAGAUCUGGUUUUCUGUAGAAAUACCAAAAUUACCAGAGGCACCUGUUCUUAGCUGAGAAGGUUAUAAGCCCUUGAAAACAGGGGUUUCCUGUGUAAUGAACGUGGCUUCUCAGUCAUAAUGCUUUAGUGUACACUGCGUUUAAACAGGCAGAGUAACGUUCCUAUAUCUGUUUCAGCUGGUUCACUGAA